CUACGGGAGGCAGCAGUGGGGAAUCUUAGACAAUGGGGGAAACCCUGAUCUAGCCAUGCCGCGUGAGUGACGAAGGCCCUAGGGUCGUAAAGCUCUUUCGCCAGGGAUGAUAAUGACAGUACCUGGUAAAGAAACCCCGGCUAACUCCGUGCCAGCAGCCGCGGUAAUACGGAGGGGGUUAGCGUUGUUCGGAAUUACUGGGCGUAAAGCGCGCGUAGGCGGACUAUUAAGUCAGGGGUGAAAUCCCGGGGCUCAACCCCGGAACUGCCUUUGAUACUGGUAGUCUUGAGUUCGAGAGAGGUGAGUGGAAUUCCGAGUGUAGAGGUGAAAUUCGUAGAUAUUCGGAGGAACACCAGUGGCGAAGGCGGCUCACUGGCUCGAUACUGACGCUGAGGUGCGAAAGUGUGGGGAGCAAACAGGAUUAGAUACCCUGGUAGUCCACACCGUAAACGAUGAAUGCCAGUCGUCGGCAAGCAUGCUUGUCGGUGACACACCUAACGGAUUAAGCAUUCCGCCUGGGGAGUACGGUCGCAAGAUUAAAACUCAAAGGAAUUGACGG
Molecule: ribosomal RNA, 559 nt
Filed under: uncultured Paracoccaceae bacterium
Lineage: Bacteria; Pseudomonadati; Pseudomonadota; Alphaproteobacteria; Rhodobacterales; Paracoccaceae
Description: bacterial SSU rRNA
Rfam family: Bacterial small subunit ribosomal RNA
Source: RNAcentral